GACAGAGGGUGCAAACGUUGUUCGGAAUUACUGGGCGUAAAGCGCGUGUAGGUGGCGAGGCAAGUCGGGUGUGAAAGCCCUGGGCUCAACCCAGGAAGUGCACUCGAUACUGCCUAGCUAGAGUCCCGGAGAGGUUGGUGGAGCUCUCGGUGUAGAGGUGAAAUUCGUAGAUAUCGAGAAGAACACCGGUGGCGAAGGCGGCCAACUGGACGGUGACUGACACUGAGACGCGAAAGCGUGGGGAGCGAACAGG
This 253-nucleotide ribosomal RNA is filed under the name uncultured bacterium. RNAcentral's name for it is "partial 16S ribosomal RNA". It matches the Rfam family "Bacterial small subunit ribosomal RNA", at positions 524 to 776 of the family's 1533-position model. The record is from RNAcentral.